UUAUGGCAUAUACCCAAUAAAGUAACAACGGCGCACAAUCAAAGUCAGAAAAACAUAUCACAUGCCUUUUUUCUUAACAAAGUACAAUCGAAGUUGCUCACAUACACUCAUCUUUAUGAACGCGCACACACACUCUAUCCCUAUGAGUACCCUUGAGAGACUGAGUUGACACAUUAUCUUGAGAUUGACGAAGUGGCCAUACACCUUCAUAGUUGACGCGUCUCCUCCCACUGAGCGCACAUCAUCAGAAGGCCUGAAAUAAAUUUAGAAAAAUGCAAGUAUCAAUGUCAAAUAUGGGACUUCAACUCUAAUGGGCAAAAGAUACCUCCUAACCAUCCAACCACAUUUGCACACAUUCCAUGCCUUCGGAUAUGACUUUCGAAUCACUACUGUGCAUAAACCUAAUUCAAGUCCACAUCUGAAUCUGUUGAGGACUGCAUGUGGUCGGUACCUCUCCAGCAUUGUGCCCCGGUCGCCCAACCCUCUUAUCCACCUCCCUUGGCCCCUCCUCCCAUCGCCAUGUUGCUUCACGCCGUCAUAGGGUUCCUUGCAGGUUGUCCACCCUAUUCUCUAUUGUCGCCCCGCCUUUCCCUUCUUUUUUAGCAACACACCUGGCUGACUCAACAAAAGCAUAAUAUGGUAAAUAUUGUAAAUCCACUAGACAGAGCAUGUGACGUCAACUCAAUAUUUAGGAAAAUAAAUAUGUUGAACCAUACUUUGGUGUCUGUGCUGCUGCAGUUGCAAGUUUUUUUCGCCCACAUGGAAUUGAACUAUUAACAUAGUACUCCCUCCGGUCCUUUUUAGUUCGCAUAUAAGAUUUGUUUGAAGUCAAACCUCGUAAACUUUGACCAAGUUUAUAGAAAAAAAUAC
This 870-nucleotide long non-coding RNA is filed under the name Triticum aestivum (bread wheat). RNAcentral's name for it is "long non-coding RNA (TAES_LNC010632)". Lineage: Eukaryota; Viridiplantae; Streptophyta; Magnoliopsida; Poales; Poaceae. The record is from RNAcentral.